GCCGCCUGCCGCCGCCGCCGCCCGGCGCCAUGGCCACUGCGGCCGGGGACGGCACGGCGAAGCCGCUGCAGAGCGCCAUGAAGCUGGCCAACGGGGCCAUCGAGCUGGACGCCGGCAACCGGCCCCGGGAGGCGUAUGCGGCCUAUCUGAGGAGCAUCCACUACAUCUCCCAGGCACUCCUGGAGGAAGUGGAGGCGACCAAAGAAGCUGGGGAAACAGUGCCCCCAGACACCCCAAAGAUGCUGAAGCUCGCUGAGCAGUGUUUGGAGAGGGCGCAGUCAACAGCAGCCAAACUUGGGAAAACAUGCCUCAAGCCAGCCAUGCCCACGACUGCGCCAGGCCCCUCAACUACCAGCCGGCACCGCCGGGUGUAUUCAGAUGAAGGGGGCAAGCUCUCUCCUUUUCUGCCCCCUGAGAUCUUUCAAAAGCUUCAGGUGGUGGAAUUGCAAGGCUCUAAGAAGGAGCUGACACCCCUGGAGGAGGCUUCUCUGCAGAACCAGAAGCUGAAGGCUGCCUAUGAGGCCAGGAUGGCUCGUCUGGACGCCACCCAGGCCGUGCAGAAGACAUCACUGACCCUGUCCCUGCAGCGGCAGAUGAUGGAGAACCUGGUAAUUGCCAAGGCGCGAGAGGAGACACUCCAGAGGAAGGCGGAGGAGCGCCGGCUGCGGCUGCAGGAGGCUGCCAACAGGAGGUUCUGCAGCCAAGUGGUUCUGACCCCCGAGGAGCGCGAGCAGCGGGUCGUCUACGCGGCCAUUCUGGAGUACGAGCAAGACCACGACUGGCCGAAGCUCUGGAGGGCCAAACUCAAGAGGAGCCCCGGGGACCUGGCGCUGGUCACCGGCCUGGUCUCUCACCUGCUCAGCCUGCCGGACCACCCCAUCACCCGGCUGCUGAGGACGCUGCAGUGCUCCGCCUACGGCGCGCUCUACCUCCUCGCGAGCAGGGCGGCCGCGGGCCCCAGCUGCGCCCCGGGCUGCUGCGCGCUGCCCCCCGACGCCGACGGGCUGCUGGCCCCCGGGAGCCGGCGGCUCCGGCCGUCCCAGAGUCUCUACUGCAUGCUGUCGCCCCCCGAGCCCGGCCCGCCCCCGCUUCACGCUGGACCCCCGGACCGAGGGCCCGACAGCAGCCCCGUGGGACCCCCCUCGCCGCCGGCGGACACCUCAUCCCGCCUGCCGGACAAGGACACCUCCUUCGAAGACCUGGAGCAGUUCCUGGCUGCGUCGGAGAGGCGAGGCCUGAGCCCCGGGGGGCGGGCGGAGCAGACCCCGCGGGCGAAGGAGGAGCCGCUGCGGGAGCAGCUGAAGGGCACCGCGCGGGACAUACACAACGCCAUCGGCUGCCUCCCCACAGCCACCGUCCACCCCAGCUCUGCUCCUGCAGACCGGCUGCUCUCGCUGACCCUUCUGUCCUUCGACGGCCUGAACACGGCCGCCUCCAAGGACCGCUGCCAGGCCUGCAUCGAGGAGCCCUUCUUCUCCCCGCUAUGGCCCCUGCUGCUGGCGCUCUACAGGAGCGUGCACCGCGCCCAGGAGGCGGCCGUGAGCAGGAGCAUGGAGCUGUACGGGAGCGCGCCACCCGCGGCCCUCGGCAUCCCCACCAGGCUGCUGCCACGGGGCCCCGGCGCCUCCCCCUUCUGCGCGGCCACCCAGGAGCUGGGACUGCUGGUCCUGGAGAGCUGCCCCCAGAAGAAGUUGGGGUGCAUCGUGCGAGCCCUGCGGGCCAUCUGUGAGUGUGCUGAGGCCCAGGAGGCCGGAGCCCAGCCCGGAGCGGCUGCCAUAUGCCUGGUCCUGCUUCAUUGUCACCUGGACACCCAGCCCCAGCUGCCAGCCUCCCAGCCUCGCCACCUGCCCGGGACCUACGCCCCGCCGGCACCAGCCCAGGAGCCACCGGUGGGGGAGCUCGCAGUGGCGCUGACGACCUGCUGCCCAUCCUGUCCUUCGUGGUGCUGAGGAGCGGCCUCCCCCAGCUCGUGUCGGAGUGCGCGGCCCUGGAGGAGUUCAUCCACGAGGGGUACCUCAUCGGGGAGGAGGGCUACUGCCUGACGUCACUGCAGAGCGCCCUGAGCUACGUGGAGCUGCUGCCCCGGGGGGCCCUGGGCCAUUAGCCGAGGGGGAGCCCCGCUGUUCCCCUGGCCCCCCACAUUCCUUCCCUUCCAGGACAGCCUGCGGAUGGGGCUGGGGGUGGCAGGCCAUGCUGGAGCCCCCAGCUCCCUGCCUUCCCUGACCUAACAUUGUCCCAUCCCUGAAGGGUCAGGUAGGGGGACCACAGAGCCAUGCCCCCUCCGGGGGCCUAGCCCUGCCUUCUCCCCUCUGGGGAAUAGGUCAGCCCCUCUGAGCUGGCGGCUGGCCAGGUUGCACUCGGCUUGCUGCUCCUCUCCACUAGCCGCUGGGUGUCCCCGGGAGCAGCCCCCACUGGGCCUUAGCACUCGGAGCCUGGAUCUCCCAGACUCGCCCGGCAGGAAGCCCCAGCCCCGGCCUGUGGCUGCUUCCACAUGGCCUCUCUUCCUGGGGCUGGGAGCAGAGGCCUGGCCACCUCAGACACUGACUGGACUGGAAUAAAGAGGCCACUGCUGUUGUCA
RNA transcript from Choloepus didactylus (southern two-toed sloth), 2578 nucleotides. It is a transcript of the gene named VPS9 domain containing 1, with no coding region annotated. The transcript is spliced from 16 exons. NCBI's taxonomy places the organism in Eukaryota, Metazoa, Chordata, Mammalia, Pilosa, Megalonychidae. The record is from RefSeq and is a predicted model, not a curated record.